RNAcentral lists this ribosomal RNA (254 nucleotides) under uncultured bacterium. RNAcentral's name for it is "partial small subunit ribosomal RNA". It matches the Rfam family "Bacterial small subunit ribosomal RNA", at positions 26 to 285 of the family's 1533-position model. The record is from RNAcentral.
AGGACGAACGCUGGCGGCGUGCUUAACACAUGCAAGUCGAGCGGAAAGGCCCUUCGGGGUACUCGAGCGGCGAACGGGUGAGUAACACGUGAGUAACCUGCCCCUAGCUCUGGGAUAGCUCCGGGAAACCGGGAUUAAUACCAGAUACGACCACUUUAGACAUCUGUCGUGGUGGAAAGGAUUCCGGCUAGGGAUGGGCUCGCGGCCUAUCAGCUUGUUGGCGGGGUAACGGCCCACCAAGGCGACGACGGGUA